GCUGCUUAAUAGUUGAUUAGAUUAGAAUCAUACUCUUGCUAAGUUUAAAUUCCACUAAGCAUCCAUACAACUUAGCCUAAUUAACUCUAAAAGAUUAGAAGUAGUUGAAAAGUUUUUAAAAGACCCAAUUCACCCCCCCCCCCUCCUCUUGGGUUGUCACCUUGGGCAACAAGUGGUAUCAGAGCAGGUGCUCUUCUAUUAAUUAUAAGUCUUAACCGACUAGAGCUAAAGAUUAUGACAACCCCACAUAACAUACUAUUUGCCGAGG
RNAcentral lists this long non-coding RNA (268 nucleotides) under Phoenix dactylifera (date palm). Its description in RNAcentral is "long non-coding RNA (PDAC_LNC010727)". Lineage: Eukaryota; Viridiplantae; Streptophyta; Magnoliopsida; Arecales; Arecaceae. The record is from RNAcentral.